UACGGAGGGGGCAAGCGUUGUUCGGAAUUACUGGGCGUAAAGGGCGCGUAGGCGGUUCGCUAAGUUGGAUGUGAAAACUCUGGGCUCAACCCAGAGCCUGCAUCCAAAACUGGCGGGCUAGAGUUCUGGAGGGGGUAGCGGAAUUCCUGGUGUAGCGGUGAAAUGCGUAGAUAUCAGGAGGAACACCGGUGGCGAAGGCGGCUACCUGGACAGAAACUGACGCUGAGGCGCGAAAGCUAGGGGAGCAAACAGG
This 253-nucleotide ribosomal RNA is filed under the name uncultured bacterium. RNAcentral describes it as "partial 16S ribosomal RNA". It matches the Rfam family "Bacterial small subunit ribosomal RNA", at positions 524 to 776 of the family's 1533-position model. The record is from RNAcentral.